This 284-nucleotide unclassified non-coding RNA is filed under the name Hevea brasiliensis (rubber tree). Lineage: Eukaryota; Viridiplantae; Streptophyta; Magnoliopsida; Malpighiales; Euphorbiaceae. The record is from RNAcentral.
UGAGCAUAUUGGAGUUCUAUCUGGGGAGGUUUCCUUUUGCAGUUGGGCGGCAGGGCGAUUGGGCGAGCUUGAUGUGUGCCAUUUGUAUGUCGCAACCACCGGAGGCUCCGCCUACCGCUUCGAGGGAUUUUCGUGAUUUUAUUAGUCGUUGUCUGCAGAGGGAGCCGGCGAGAAGGUGGAUGGCGAAUCAGUUGUUAAAUCAUCCGUUUAUAUCAAGGAAUAGUGGAGGCCAAAGAGAGGUGAAUCAGAGUCUACAUCAACUCUUGCCUCCCCCACGUCCUCUU